RNAcentral lists this ribosomal RNA (465 nucleotides) under uncultured fungus. Its description in RNAcentral is "partial contains 5.8S ribosomal RNA, internal transcribed spacer 2, and large subunit ribosomal RNA". It matches the Rfam family "Bacterial small subunit ribosomal RNA", at positions 338 to 795 of the family's 1533-position model. Lineage: Eukaryota; Fungi. The record is from RNAcentral. RNAcentral also lists the same sequence under 1 other name.
CCUACGGGUGGCAGCAGUGGGGAAUUUUGGACAAUGGGCGAAAGCCUGAUCCAGCAAUGCCGCGUGUGUGAAGAAGGCCUUCGGGUUGUAAAGCACUUUUGUCCGGAAAGAAAUCCUUGGCUCUAAUACAGUCGGGGGAUGACGGUACCGGAAGAAUAAGCACCGGCUAACUACGUGCCAGCAGCCGCGGUAAUACGUAGGGUGCGAGCGUUAAUCGGAAUUACUGGGCGUAAAGCGUGCGCAGGCGGUUUGCUAAGACCGAUGUGAAAUCCCCGGGCUCAACCUGGGAACUGCAUUGGUGACUGGCAGGCUAGAGUAUGGCAGAGGGGGGUAGAAUUCCACGUGUAGCAGUGAAAUGCGUAGAGAUGUGGAGGAAUACCGAUGGCGAAGGCAGCCCCCUGGGCCAAUACUGACGCUCAUGCACGAAAGCGUGGGGAGCAAACAGGAUUAGAUACCCUUGUAGUC